This 638-nucleotide long non-coding RNA is filed under the name Eucalyptus grandis. RNAcentral's name for it is "long non-coding RNA (EGRA_LNC006037)". The record is from RNAcentral. Lineage: Eukaryota; Viridiplantae; Streptophyta; Magnoliopsida; Myrtales; Myrtaceae.
CCACCACAUAACACCUUAGGCAAGGCGAAUAAAAGCAUUAAAAUCACGAGCAAAUCGGAACACAAUCCAAAGGAGCAGCUAACGAUAUUACAUUCAACCUGCGAUACUACACCCGGAUCCGAGGAAAGAACGAAUUCAAACACGAUCGGUGCUAAUGCCUUAGCCGAUGCGUUUGCCUCUGUCACGACUCGCGGGCUGAUAAACUGCUCUUUCGUAAUCCAUAGCGAAAAACCCACCAAGAUAUAAGAGCUUGGGAGAGAAGAAAAGAGACGUGGCCGAACCGAACCGGCCUCCUGAUAACAAAUUUGCCGAUACACUAAUGCCAAAGGGUCCUCAGUUGCCCAAAACCACAAACGCCUAAUACAGAGCUACUAGCAUUCUUUCACGAAAACAAACGUCCUCCGCCGUCAGUCGUCGUGGCCAUUAAUGGACGGCGCCGGGGUCGCUCCUCCCCGGAGACGCAGGCUAGAGCAAUGGACUUGGGGAUGUGGGAAUGGAGGCCGCUGGGAAAGGGGAUUCCCAGGGCUCAGAGGGAGUGGCAACAAUGGCAGUUCCUCAGCUUUAAAAGGGAAAUGAAAGGCCAAAAGAGAGAGAGAAGGGUAUCUUCCGAAGCAUAUGCUUGAAGCAUUAUUAAUCCG